GGGAGGACUAGGUGAAUGAUGGAGGGAGAACUAGGAGAAUGAUGGAGGGAGGACUAGGAGAAUGAUGGAGGGAAAACUAGGAGAAUGAUGGAGGGAAGACUAGGAGAAUGAUGGAGGGAGGACUAGGAGAAUGAUGGAGGGAGGACUAGGAGAAUGAUGGAGGGAGGACUAGGAGAAUGAUGGAGGGAGGACUAGGAGAAUGAUGGAGGGAGGACUAGGAGAAUGAUGGAUGGAGGACUAGGAGAAUGAUGGAGGGGGGACUAGGAGAAUGAUGGAGGGAGGACUAUGAGAAUGAUGGAGGGAGGACUAGGAGAAUGAUGGAGGGAGGACUAGGAGAAUGAUGGAGGGAGG
This is a long non-coding RNA of Oncorhynchus tshawytscha (Chinook salmon), 351 nucleotides long. The record is from Ensembl. NCBI's taxonomy places the organism in Eukaryota, Metazoa, Chordata, Actinopteri, Salmoniformes, Salmonidae.